This is a long non-coding RNA of Triticum aestivum (bread wheat), 1717 nucleotides long. RefSeq lists it as uncharacterized. The transcript is spliced from 4 exons. The record is from RefSeq and is a predicted model, not a curated record. NCBI's taxonomy places the organism in Eukaryota, Viridiplantae, Streptophyta, Magnoliopsida, Poales, Poaceae.
CCGGCCGCAGCACCGCGCGUGCGUCGGGCCAUCGCCGAGCCGCAAGCGAAACCGUUGAUGCGCGGGCUCGAACUCCCCGUCCCCAUUUCUCCGGACGCCUGGGACGCAGAUGCCGCCGAAGCCAUCGUGUGCGCGUCGGGGACGCAGCAUCCGCUGCCUCCAUUCCUCUGCGUGGCCUCCGAUGCACAUCCUUAAUUUCUCCAAGUAGGAACCACUAUGUAAAAAAUCUCAAACCCUUCGUUUUCUGCUGCCGCCGCCAUUGGAGGUGCUGUGCCACUAGGACGAUGAGGUAUACGAGGUAUGAGCGCGAGGCGCUCUCAGCGGGGCGCCGUCGUGGGAAGCGCAGGCGAUGCGGUGGGCCGAGGUGCACUCCGCGCUCCCCGCCGCCGGCUUCUCCGGGGAGUACUAGUGCUGCUCGCCACCGACACGCCGGUGAGUGGGAGGAAGGCUUCCCGCGGUGGGAUGAAGAGCCCCGAAGCGGCAACGCCCCAGUUCCAAUUGAGUAAAUCCCAGCCGUGGAGCACCGACAUUUACGAGUUGAGAAUUUAUUGAUUUACGAGCCACAUUGCGACAUUAAUCCUUUUACACUUGCCUUCUGGAUUAUUUGUUUGCUCACUCAUUUUCUUCAUUCACUGUAGUUGAUGGCACUGGAACGAUGCUCAGGCUAAACUUGAAAAUAAGGAGGGCUCGGCUAUUUCCAUGUUUUUGUGUGGGCCAGCAAUGCUGUUUAAUUGUUCUUUUUUGACGCUUCUGUUUAAUUGUUCCUGGAUGAUGGAUGGUGAAAUUUUGUUUUAAUAAGUAGUUCUUGUGCUAAUUGAUUCUUCUAUUUAGCGUGAUAGCAUAUUUUGUUGCAAGUGUAAAAUCUGGGGAGAUGUGAGGAUGAUUUCUUGGCAGUGGUUGCUGUGAUAUUUGGCAAGAAAUAUUGAAGCCAAGAUGUAUCGGUUUUCAGUGUAAAUGAAUGGUGUCAUUGGAGAAUUUAAGCUGAAUGUCUGGUUGGAACUACUUAUCUGGACGUACAUUAUCUGCAUCCUUGGUCACUUUUAUAUAAAAUCAUUGAUCUCUUACUCUGGAAAUUGAACGAAAGUUUGAGCCUUUAGCCAUCUAAAAGGCUGAAACUGGCUCUGAAGCCUCAAAACUUAGUUCAUAUAAAUAUCUGCCAAGAGUAGAGAUGAUUUAUAUACCUCAAUUUUUCAACCUGUUAGUCCUUUCACCUUGCUAUCCGAAAUGUGUGAUCUUGAUGCUAAUUCUAUGCAGGUGGAUAACUACCAAAAGUCAAGGUGAGACCCUGGCCUAAAAGGGGAAAUCGCUAUGUAGUCAGCUCUAGAACAAGGAGAACUACCAAAAGUCAAGGGGAGACCCUGGCUUAAAAAGGGGAAAUCGCUCUGUAGUCAGCUCCAGAACAAGGUGACUGUGGUGCUAUUUGGACAAAGAGAUUGUAUGCAUUCAUCUAUCUGAGCUUAUUUUUGGGAGUAACUGAAAUAGAAGAACAAUUUGUAGACGGCACAGGGAGUUAAUUCAUGCCUGAGGUUGGUAAACCCUAUAUCUAUUGCGGGGUGGUUUGAGGAAGGGACAGCAUGUUACCCACGAAGAUUUUGGCGGUGGAUGAUGCAUGCUAUAGUUACUUAUAGAGUUACCACACCAUUUCCAAUGCUCUAUUUCUAUCUUUCUUUCUCCUACUAGCAAAUUUUAUACAACAUUUCUAGGGAAUUAUAUAUUG